This 498-nucleotide ribosomal RNA is filed under the name uncultured bacterium. RNAcentral describes it as "partial 16S ribosomal RNA". It matches the Rfam family "Bacterial small subunit ribosomal RNA", at positions 29 to 507 of the family's 1533-position model. The record is from RNAcentral.
AGCGAACGCUGGCGGCGUGCCUAACACAUGCCAGUCGAACGUGAAAAGGGAAACCUGAGUAAAGUGGCGUACGGGUGAGUAACGCGUAGGUAAUCUACCCCAGAAUCUGGAAUAACCUGCCGAAAGGCGGGCUAAUACUGGAUAGAGCGAGGGAACUCGUAAGAGAGUUUUUCGGGAAAGGGAGCCCGCAAGGGCCUUCGUUCUGGGAUGAGCCUGCGUCUCAUCAGCUAGUUGGUAAGGUAACGGCUUACCAAGGCGAUGAUGAGUAGCUGGUCUGAGAGGAUGAUCAGCCACACUGGAACUGAAACACGGUCCAGACUCCUACGGGAGGCAGCAGUGGGGAAUCUUGCGCAAUGGACGAAAGUCUGACGCAGCCACGCCGCGUGAGUGAAGAAGGCCUUCGGGUUGUAAAGCUCUGUCGGAUGGGACGAACAUCUUCAUAGUGAAUAGCUAUGAGGACUGACGGUACCAUCAAAGGAAGCACCGGCUAACUCCGUG